UUCUGGCUCAGGACGAACGCUGGCGGCGUGCUUCAUACAUGCAAGUCGAACGAGAAGCUUACUCGGUGAGUGGAAAGUGGCGGACGGGUGAGUAAUGUGUAGAGAAUCUGCCCUAGAGUGGGGGACAACAGAGGGAAACUUCUGCUAAUACCCCAUAUGCGCGUAGUUGAGAUACUAUUCGUGAAGGAUUUAUUGCUCUAGGAUGAGUCUGCAUCUGAUUAGCUAGUUGGGGGUGUAAUGGACCACCAAGGCGACGAUCAGUAGCUGGUUUGAGAGGAUGAUCAGCCACAAUGGGACUGAGACACGGCCCAUACUCCUACGGGAGGCAGCAGUAGGGAAUUUUGCGCAAUGGGCGAAAGCCUGACGCAGCCAACGCCGCGUGAUCGUAGAAGCCCUUCGGGGUGUAAGGAUCUGUCAGUAGGGACGAACAAUGACUGUACCUACAGAGGAAGCACCGGCUAACUCCGUGCCAGCAGCAGC
Molecule: ribosomal RNA, 480 nt
Filed under: uncultured bacterium
Lineage: Bacteria
Description: bacterial SSU rRNA
Rfam family: Bacterial small subunit ribosomal RNA
Source: RNAcentral